This is a non-coding RNA of Anas platyrhynchos (mallard), 310 nucleotides long. NCBI's taxonomy places the organism in Eukaryota, Metazoa, Chordata, Aves, Anseriformes, Anatidae. The record is from RefSeq and is a predicted model, not a curated record.
UGCGUUGAGGCCCUGCUUCAAGGAUGUUGUCAAUCAUCGCUCAUUUGUGGGAAGUAGAGACUACUGAUGCUCCUGAGACUCUUUGUCUGCUUAUGUGAUUUAAGGAGAAGGAAGAAAGGAAGAAAAUGUAUCUAUUUAUUUGCAUGAAGAAGAAAACAAUGUUUUAUUUCUGCUGCCUUGUUCACCAGCUUUCUCUUAUACUGCAUAUGCAUUUUUUAUUUCUGUGCUUUUAGAUCUCUAUUAUUUAUACUUAUUAAAAAUCAUCUUGUGGCUUAGAGUCAUUUGUAAUAAAGACUCUGUAUCGCUGUCA